AGCCGGAUAAUCGCGCCUUAUAAAGGUGAGGAAAGUCCGUGCAUCCGAGGACAGCUCGCCGGAGAAACUCCGGACGGCGUGAGCCGGUGGAUCGGACCACAGAAAGGGGAUUUUUUCCCAAAAGACUGCCGAUGGAUUAAUUUCACAGGCGAUGGUGCAAAGGUGAGGUAAGAGCUCACCGGAUAUGCUGAGAAGUAUAUGCCAGGCAACCCCCGAGCGGAUGCAAGAUUGAAUCAAGCGUUUGAGGUGUCCGCCAAGCUUGGAAAAAUCGCUGGAGAUUGGGAGCAAUCCCAAUACAAGAUAGAUGAUUAUCAGGGUAAAUCUUUUACCUGAACAGAACACGGCUUAUGAGCUGCUUUA
RNAcentral lists this RNase P RNA (360 nucleotides) under bovine gut metagenome. Its description in RNAcentral is "Bacterial RNase P class A". It matches the Rfam family "Bacterial RNase P class A". Rfam says of the family: Ribonuclease P (RNase P) is a ubiquitous endoribonuclease, found in archaea, bacteria and eukarya as well as chloroplasts and mitochondria. Its best characterised activity is the generation of mature 5'-ends of tRNAs by cleaving the 5'-leader elements of precursor-tRNAs. Cellular RNase Ps are ribonucleoproteins. The record is from RNAcentral.